AUGACAGCAAUAAACUGAUGUCAGUACAGCAUACAGACCAGUAAUCCUGAAGUUCGAGGUCAAUCACGACAUCCAAUAAAGAAUAGACAGUGUUUUAUUUCGUUUGGUUACCGGUGAGCAGCGGCGACAAAGCGCGCCAGCGUUCACCCGACCGGAAGGGGUGACUUUUGACUCAAAUAUGACGCCAUCCACGGUGAACAUACUUUAAAUGAUGAUAUAGUGUGGAUGGCCUUUUUCACCUUUUUUCAUAGGACAUCAUGUUGGUGAAAGUAAGAUUUGGAGAAACGCAUAAGUAUGUCAAAGUGGCUGAGACUGAAGAUGGCUAUGAUGACUUCAACACAUUUCAUCAGAAAGUUGUGCUUCUACAUGUAUUCGUGUCAGGAGACUCCUUGCCAGUAUCUUCUGAUUCAUCAGAUGUAACAGUGAUUGUUCAGACAAAUGGAGGGAAGAGAAACCAAGUUGAAUGGAAAUCUGCAAAAGAGAUGGUGAGAGAUGCUCUCCUGGCCAAACCGGGUGGACAGAUUAUUUUGGAUGAAUAUGAUA
This is a long non-coding RNA of Centropristis striata (black sea bass), 543 nucleotides long. RefSeq lists it as uncharacterized. The record is from RefSeq and is a predicted model, not a curated record. NCBI's taxonomy places the organism in Eukaryota, Metazoa, Chordata, Actinopteri, Perciformes, Serranidae. The transcript is spliced from 3 exons.